Molecule: ribosomal RNA, 301 nt
Filed under: uncultured bacterium
Lineage: Bacteria
Description: partial 16S ribosomal RNA
Rfam family: Bacterial small subunit ribosomal RNA
Source: RNAcentral
CAGUCGCCGCGGUAAUACGUAGGGUGCAAGCGUUGUCCGGAUUUAUUGGGCGUAAAGAGCUCGUAGGCGGUUUGUCGCGUCGAAUGUGAAAGCCCGGGGCUUAACCCCGGGUCUGCAUUCGAUACGGGCAGACUAGAGUUCGGUAGGGGAGACUGGAAUUCCUGGUGUAGCGGUGAAAUGCGUAGAUAUUCGGAAGAACACCAGUGGCGAAGGCGGCUCACUGGACGCGUAUUGACGCUGAGGUGCGAAAGCGUGGGGAGCAAACAGGAUUAGAUACCCCAGUAGUCCCUGUCUCUUAUCC